Molecule: ribosomal RNA, 561 nt
Filed under: Hemidactylus platyurus (flat-tailed house gecko)
Lineage: Eukaryota; Metazoa; Chordata; Lepidosauria; Squamata; Gekkonidae
Description: partial 16S ribosomal RNA
Rfam family: Bacterial large subunit ribosomal RNA
Source: RNAcentral
CGCCUUCAGCCCAAACAAGUAUUGAAGGUCCCGCCUGCCCAGUGAGACCACUUUAACGGCCGCGGUAUCCUAACCGUGCAAAGGUAGCAUAAUCACUUGCCCUUUAAUUAAGGGCUUGUAUGAACGGCUGAACGAGGGUGAAACUGUCUCCUAUGGCAAGUCAAUGAAACUGAUCUCCUAGUACAAAAGCUAGAAUAUAUACACAAGACGAGAAGACCCUGUGGAACUUCAAGCACACCCACUGCCACCUCUAAUUUUAAGCCCUCCCAGGACAUAAACCCACGAUAACAGUAUAAGCUUUAAGUUGGGGCAACUACGGAGACAAACCAAACCUCCAUGACCUAGGACUAACCCCCCACCGCCAGGGGGACACCCCAAACUGGCCCGUUAAAACCAUGACCCAGUAAAACUGAUCAUCGAACCAAGCUACCCCAGGGAUAACAGCGCCAUCCUCUUCAAGAGUCCAUAUCGACAAGAGGGCUUACGACCUCGAUGUUGGAUCAGGGCCCCCCAGAGGCGCAGCAGCUUCUAAAGGUCCGUUUGUUCAACGGCUAAUGCCCU